RNAcentral lists this ribosomal RNA (460 nucleotides) under uncultured bacterium. Its description in RNAcentral is "partial 16S ribosomal RNA". It matches the Rfam family "Bacterial small subunit ribosomal RNA", at positions 338 to 795 of the family's 1533-position model. The record is from RNAcentral.
CCUACGGGAGGCAGCAGUGAGGAAUAUUGGUCAAUGGACGAGAGUCUGAACCAGCCAAGUAGCGUGAGGGAGGACUGCCCUCUGGGUUGUAAACUUCUUUUGUCUGGAAAUAAAAUGUUCCACGUGUGGGUUUUUGUAUGUACCAUAUGAAUAAGGAUCGGCUAACUCCGUGCCAGCAGCCGCGGUAAUCCGGAGGAUCCGAGCGUUAUCCGGGUUUAUUGGGUUUAAAGGGAGCGUAGGAGGAUUUUUAAGUCAUUUGUGAAAGUUUGGGGCUCAACCGUAAAAUUGCAGUUGAAACUGGCAGUCUUGAGUACAGUAGAGGUGGGCGGAAUUCGUGGUGUAGCGGUGAAAUGCAUAGAUAUCACGCAGAACUCCGAUUGCGAAGGCAGCAUACCGGCGCCCAACUGACGCUGAAGCACGAAAGCGUGGGUAUCGAACAGGAUUAGAUACCCUAGUAGUC